GCCUCUUUCAUUACAGUGUGCAGAGUCCCGCAGGGCAGAAAGCUCUGAUUAAAAUGGCUCUUGCUGGGAUUCAGCGGCUUUUUGGGGAAGAAGAAAAUGCCCCUGCCUGCUGGAGUCUGUCUGAGGCACUGUCGGUGGAGCUGUUUUGAGGGAAGAAGCCUCCAAGCAAUUGUGCCAGUUUCUCCCUGACUGCUUCAGAAAGAGAUGGGCAAUAUGACCUCCCUGCAGAUGGAGGAAGAAGAGAUGUGAUGUGCCAGGACCCUACAUGCUAACCCAGCAGUGUUUGAGCUCCUGUGCAGUGCUUUUCAGCCUCUGAGGGAUGAGCCUGAAGCUUCUUUCCAGGCAGCUCUGUCUGUGAGUUUUACAGCUGCCUGGAUCAUCUCCAAAGGAUUGAUUUACUGUAAUUCCUCUAGAAAGCAACUUUUGUGAUUGCCUGCCUGGAGAUCUCAAGCUGGACUUAAACAACAGGAUCCUAAAGAGGCCAUGAAUAAUUGAGCCUAAUAAAUAUUAAUAACUUGC
Molecule: long non-coding RNA, 519 nt
Organism: Pogoniulus pusillus (Red-fronted tinkerbird)
Lineage: Eukaryota; Metazoa; Chordata; Aves; Piciformes; Lybiidae
Exons: 2
Source: RefSeq, a predicted model, not a curated record